RNAcentral lists this ribosomal RNA (1029 nucleotides) under Escherichia coli. RNAcentral describes it as "partial 23S ribosomal RNA". It matches the Rfam family "Bacterial large subunit ribosomal RNA", at positions 176 to 1242 of the family's 2925-position model. The record is from RNAcentral. Lineage: Bacteria; Pseudomonadati; Pseudomonadota; Gammaproteobacteria; Enterobacterales; Enterobacteriaceae.
GAGGCGAACCGGGGGAACUGAAACAUCUAAGUACCCCGAGGAAAAGAAAUCAACCGAGAUUCCCCCAGUAGCGGCGAGCGAACGGGGAGCAGCCCAGAGCCUGAAUCAGUGUGUGUGUUAGUGGAAGCGUCUGGAAAGGCGCGCGAUACAGGGUGACAGCCCCGUACACAAAAAUGCACAUGCUGUGAGCUCGAUGAGUAGGGCGGGACACGUGGUAUCCUGUCUGAAUAUGGGGGGACCAUCCUCCAAGGCUAAAUACUCCUGACUGACCGAUAGUGAACCAGUACCGUGAGGGAAAGGCGAAAAGAACCCCGGCGAGGGGAGUGAAAAAGAACCUGAAACCGUGUACGUACAAGCAGUGGGAGCACAGAGCAAUCUGUGUGACUGCGUACCUUUUGUAUAAUGGGUCAGCGACUUAUAUUCUGUAGCAAGGUUAACCGAAUAGGGGAGCCGAAGGGAAACCGAGUCUUAACUGGGCGUUAAGUUGCAGGGUAUAGACCCGAAACCCGGUGAUCUAGCCAUGGGCAGGUUGAAGGUUGGGUAACACUAACUGGAGGACCGAACCGACUAAUGUUGAAAAAUUAGCGGAUGACUUGUGGCUGGGGGUGAAAGGCCAAUCAAACCGGGAGAUAGCUGGUUCUCCCCGAAAGCUAUUUAGGUAGCGCCUCGUGAAUUCAUCUCCGGGGGUAGAGCACUGUUUCGGCAAGGGGGUCAUCCCGACUUACCAACCCGAUGCAAACUGCGAAUACCGGAGAAUGUUAUCACGGGAGACACACGGCGGGUGCUAACGUCCGUCGUGAAGAGGGAAACAACCCAGACCGCCAGCUAAGGUCCCAAAGUCAUGGUUAAGUGGGAAACGAUGUGGGAAGGCCCAGACAGCCAGGAUGUUGGCUUAGAAGCAGCCAUCAUUUAAAGAAAGCGUAAUAGCUCACUGGUCGAGUCGGCCUGCGCGGAAGAUGUAACGGGGCUAAACCAUGCACCGAAGCUGCGGCAGCGACGCUGAUGCGUUGUUGGGUAGGGGAGCGUUCU